Molecule: long non-coding RNA, 1492 nt
Organism: Onychostoma macrolepis
Lineage: Eukaryota; Metazoa; Chordata; Actinopteri; Cypriniformes; Cyprinidae
Exons: 3
Source: RefSeq, a predicted model, not a curated record
GUUGGGUUAUUUACUGUACCCAAUAUCUGGGUUAAACAUAUUGGGUCAUUAUGUUGGGUUAUUUCGAACUUUUGUUGGGUUGUUUGUAUAACAACGCAACCAGUUGGGUUAAAUUUUAAAUUCCAACGGUCGACCGGCGUAACUGUGACAGAAGAUAAACGGGUAAGUAAAUAUCAUACAAUAUAUGCAUAUAUGUUUUAUUUUUUUGCGUUACAAAGUGAUUUUAAGCUCUUACACAGUAAUAUCGCUGAUUUUCUCCACAAAUAUAUUUACAUAUUUACCCCUGUCGACUGCUUUUUGUCCGCUGUAUUUGCAAUUCGACUCCGAUGCUUGUUUUAUAGCAAACCUAAAGUAAUAAUAAUAAUAAUAAUAAUAACAACAAUACACGACUGGGAUGCUUUUCCUCACUUUCUCUGUUUUUCCUAAUACAUUUUGGGAAAUUUUUCACAUAUUUCAGAUAUUUGACAACGCGAUCGGCUUCAAGACCCUGCUCUGCCUCUGUGCCUCAUCCAUCCGACACGCCCACUCUGGGAGGAUGCUAUGGAUUUCUAUGUAAAGGAUACACUUAGGAAGUGGAACCUGGAAACUUUAAUUGACAUAUUUGCAGAGGAAGAAAUUGACCAACAAAGCUUUCUGCUACUUGACGAGACUACCAUAAAUGCACUUAUACCAAGAAUUGGCCAAAGAGUAAAAUUCACAAAUUAUUACAAGCAACUGCGCACUGUAAGUAACUAAAAAAAAAUGCCUUUCACAUGCUUCAAAUGUAAAAAAUCCACCCCAAACCACAAAGAAUAUUUCUUACAUCUAAAUGCCAUUCAUGGAAUUAACAGUUCAUCAAAAUAUUUCUGUUGCUGUGAGAACAACUGUGGUAGGACAUUUGCAUACAUGUGGUCUUUCAAAAGACAUCUGUUGAAAGAUCACAUGCAAGCAGAUGAAAGGCCAACAAAAGAAAUCUUUCCAUCCACAUCUUCUGAAGUUUCACAUCAACAAACUGCUCCAUCCACUAAUGUGCAAACACCAGACACUGAAGAUAUGGGGACAGAGGAAGAGUGGGAUGACUUUGACAAAGAAGAAUUAACGAACCGUUUAGCUUUGUUUCUUGCAAAGCUAAGAGCUAAAUCUUGCCAAACAUAUUCUGCUAUCAACUUUGUUGUCAAACAAACCGCAAGCUUAAUUACAGAUAUAGUAGGCGGUCUACAGGAGAAGACAAUGUCCUUGUUUCAGCGUUUUGGACACCAAGAUGACCAAGCAGUGAAAAACUUGAAUGCUCAAUUUGAGAGGGCUGCUGAGCCAUUAAGAGACCUUGAAUCGGAAUAUAAACAAAUGAAAUACUUUACAAAAACAGGGUGUUUCAUCGAGCCUGUAGCUGAGUAUUUUCCAGGGGUUUCCUACUGUCAGCGACACGAUUCUGCAUCUGGCAUCGUUAAACAAACAGCAGUACCUGAUUCAUUUCAGUAUAUUCCAUUGCGUCCACUUCUGAAAAAAGUUCUUG